RNAcentral lists this ribosomal RNA (2001 nucleotides) under Staphylococcus aureus. Its description in RNAcentral is "partial 23S ribosomal RNA". It matches the Rfam family "Bacterial large subunit ribosomal RNA", at positions 286 to 2285 of the family's 2925-position model. The record is from RNAcentral. Lineage: Bacteria; Bacillati; Bacillota; Bacilli; Caryophanales; Staphylococcaceae.
UGCUUGUUGGGGUUGUAGGACACUCUAUACGGAGUUACAAAGGACGACAUUAGACGAAUCAUCUGGAAAGAUGAAUCAAAGAAGGUAAUAAUCCUGUAGUCGAAAAUGUUGUCUCUCUUGAGUGGAUCCUGAGUACGACGGAACACGUGAAAUUCCGUCGGAAUCUGGGAGGACCAUCUCCUAAGGCUAAAUACUCUCUAGUGACCGAUAGUGAACCAGUACCGUGAGGGAAAGGUGAAAAGCACCCCGGAAGGGGAGUGAAAUAGAACCUGAAACCGUGUGCUUACAAGUAGUCAGAGCCCGUUAAUGGGUGAUGGCGUGCCUUUUGUAGAAUGAACCGGCGAGUUACGAUUUGAUGCAAGGUUAAGCAGUAAAUGUGGAGCCGUAGCGAAAGCGAGUCUGAAUAGGGCGUUUAGUAUUUGGUCGUAGACCCGAAACCAGGUGAUCUACCCUUGGUCAGGUUGAAGUUCAGGUAACACUGAAUGGAGGACCGAACCGACUUACGUUGAAAAGUGAGCGGAUGAACUGAGGGUAGCGGAGAAAUUCCAAUCGAACCUGGAGAUAGCUGGUUCUCUCCGAAAUAGCUUUAGGGCUAGCCUCAAGUGAUGAUUAUUGGAGGUAGAGCACUGUUUGGACGAGGGGCCCCUCUCGGGUUACCGAAUUCAGACAAACUCCGAAUGCCAAUUAAUUUAACUUGGGAGUCAGAACAUGGGUGAUAAGGUCCGUGUUCGAAAGGGAAACAGCCCAGACCACCAGCUAAGGUCCCAAAAUAUAUGUUAAGUGGAAAAGGAUGUGGCGUUGCCCAGACAACUAGGAUGUUGGCUUAGAAGCAGCCAUCAUUUAAAGAGUGCGUAAUAGCUCACUAGUCGAGUGACACUGCGCCGAAAAUGUACCGGGGCUAAACAUAUUACCGAAGCUGUGGAUUGUCCUUUGGACAAUGGUAGGAGAGCGUUCUAAGGGCGUUGAAGCAUGAUCGUAAGGACAUGUGGAGCGCUUAGAAGUGAGAAUGCCGGUGUGAGUAGCGAAAGACGGGUGAGAAUCCCGUCCACCGAUUGACUAAGGUUUCCAGAGGAAGGCUCGUCCGCUCUGGGUUAGUCGGGUCCUAAGCUGAGGCCGACAGGCGUAGGCGAUGGAUAACAGGUUGAUAUUCCUGUACCACCUAUAAUCGUUUUAAUCGAUGGGGGGACGCAGUAGGAUAGGCGAAGCGUGCGAUUGGAUUGCACGUCUAAGCAGUAAGGCUGAGUAUUAGGCAAAUCCGGUACUCGUUAAGGCUGAGCUGUGAUGGGGAGAAGACAUUGUGUCUUCGAGUCGUUGAUUUCACACUGCCGAGAAAAGCCUCUAGAUAGAAAAUAGGUGCCCGUACCGCAAACCGACACAGGUAGUCAAGAUGAGAAUUCUAAGGUGAGCGAGCGAACUCUCGUUAAGGAACUCGGCAAAAUGACCCCGUAACUUCGGGAGAAGGGGUGCUCUUUAGGGUUAACGCCCAGAAGAGCCGCAGUGAAUAGGCCCAAGCGACUGUUUAUCAAAAACACAGGUCUCUGCUAAACCGUAAGGUGAUGUAUAGGGGCUGACGCCUGCCCGGUGCUGGAAGGUUAAGAGGAGUGGUUAGCUUCUGCGAAGCUACGAAUCGAAGCCCCAGUAAACGGCGGCCGUAACUAUAACGGUCCUAAGGUAGCGAAAUUCCUUGUCGGGUAAGUUCCGACCCGCACGAAAGGCGUAACGAUUUGGGCACUGUCUCAACGAGAGACUCGGUGAAAUCAUAGUACCUGUGAAGAUGCAGGUUACCCGCGACAGGACGGAAAGACCCCGUGGAGCUUUACUGUAGCCUGAUAUUGAAAUUCGGCACAGCUUGUACAGGAUAGGUAGGAGCCUUUGAAACGUGAGCGCUAGCUUACGUGGAGGCGCUGGUGGGAUACUACCCUAGCUGUGUUGGCUUUCUAACCCGCACCACUUAUCGUGGUGGGAGACAGUGUCAGGCGGGCAGUUUGACUGGGGCGGUCG